UUCUGCCCAGUGAUUUAUUUUUAACGGCCGCAGUACAUUGACUGUGCUAAGGUAGCAUAAUAAAUUGACUUCUAAUUAGAGUCUGGAAUGAAUGGAAUAAUUAGGGCUUACUUUAUUUAAAAUAUUAAUUUUAAUUUAUUUAUUUAGUGAAAAUACUAAAUUUUAAAAUAAAGACGAGAAGACCCUAAGAGUUUUUACAUAUUUACUAUUUUGUGUUUUUGUUGGGGCGACAUAGGAAAAUUAAAUCUUCUUUUAAAAAUAUAACGAUUAUAUUGAUAAAAAAUAAACUACCUUAAGGAUAACAGCCUUAAUAAAAAUUUUUGAUUGUGACCUCGAUGUUGGACUAGGAAAAUUUGCGGCUAGCAGAAGCAAA
RNAcentral lists this ribosomal RNA (373 nucleotides) under Burnupia stuhlmanni. RNAcentral's name for it is "partial 16S ribosomal RNA". The stretch from base 1 to 104 matches the Rfam family "Eukaryotic large subunit ribosomal RNA", at positions 2197 to 2332 of the family's 3401-position model. Lineage: Eukaryota; Metazoa; Mollusca; Gastropoda; Ancylidae. The record is from RNAcentral.